AGCCCCGUACACAAAAGCGCACGUGCUGUGAGCUCAAUGAGUAGGGCGGGACACGUGGUAUCCUGUCUGAAUAUGGGGGGACCAUCCUCCAAGGCUAAAUACUCCUGACUGACCGAUAGUGAACCAGUACCGUGAGGGAAAGGCGAAAAGAACCCCGGCGAGGGGAGUGAAACAGAACCUGAAACCGUGUACGUACAAGCAGUGGGAGCCCCACCACUAAGCCAGUGGUGAACUCCACAUACGCAUCCUUUGCUGAGGAUACGGUUAACGGAGCGAAAGCGACGUUCAACCGCAAAAGAAGCAGAGGGGGCUUAGUGGUGGGGUGACUGCGUACCUUUUGUAUAAUGGGUCAGCGACUUAUAUUCUGUAGCAAGGUUAACCGCAUAGGGGAGCCGGAGGGAAACCGAGUCUUAAUUGGGCGUUAAGUUGCAGGGUAUAGACCCGAAACCCGGUGAUCUAGCCAUGGGCAGGUUGAAGGUUGGGUAACACUAACUGGAGGACCGAACCGACUAAUGUUGAAAAAUUAGCGGAUGACCUGUGGCUGGGGGUGAAAGGCCAAUCAAACCGGGAGAUAGCUGGUUCUCCCCGAAAGCUAUUUAGGUAGCGCCUCGUGAAUUCAUCUCCGGGGGUAGAGCACUGUUUCGGCCAGGGGGCCAUCCCGGCUUACCAAUCCGAUGCAAACUGCGAAUACCGGAGAAUGUUAUCACGGGAGACACACGGCGGGUGCUAACGUCCGUCGUGAAGAGGGAAACAACCCAGACCGCCAGCUAAGGUCCCAAAGUCAUGGUUAAGUGGGAAACGAUGUGGGAAGGCCCAGACAGCCAGGAUGUUGGCUUAGAAGCAGCCAUCAUUUAAAGAAAGCGUAAUAGCUCACUGGUCGAGUCGGCCUGCGCGGAAGAUGUAACGGGGCUAAACCAUGCACCGAAGCUGCGGCAGCGAACGUAUCACCCAAGACAACUUUACACAGUUGACGACUGACGGAGCGAAGCGACGUCAAAGCGUUUUACAACGUCGAGUUGGCUUAGGGAUACGUU
Molecule: ribosomal RNA, 1034 nt
Filed under: Salmonella enterica
Lineage: Bacteria; Pseudomonadati; Pseudomonadota; Gammaproteobacteria; Enterobacterales; Enterobacteriaceae
Description: partial 23S ribosomal RNA
Rfam family: Bacterial large subunit ribosomal RNA
Source: RNAcentral